Octodon degus (degu) is the source of this 107-nucleotide long non-coding RNA. RefSeq lists it as uncharacterized. The transcript is spliced from 3 exons. The record is from RefSeq and is a predicted model, not a curated record. NCBI's taxonomy places the organism in Eukaryota, Metazoa, Chordata, Mammalia, Rodentia, Octodontidae.
AGAAGAAAGUUGAAAAACCUGAAAAGGAAAGUAAAGUUCCAACAAGAAAAGAAAGCCUUCAUCUGCACAAUGUGACAAAAGCAGAAAAACCUGAAAAAGUAUCAAGU